ACUACCCUAUUUCAAUCGUCCGUUUCCAACUUCCCGCCGCAAUUGUUCCUCUCGGGGACGUCAGGCAUGAGCAGGAGAUUGAGGGCUUUCAAGAGAUGGAUGAAAUCUCAUGGGAUCGCAUACAGCGAUGCCCUAGAGUUCGUCGAUUCCAUGGACGACGGCAUCUCCGUGCGAGCACUCUGCGAUCUAAAGGAAGGAGACCUUGUCGCCAGCAUCCCUAAGAUUUCCUGCCUCACCAUCCGGACCUCGGGGAUCUCUUCACUUUUAGAGGAGUGUGGCCUUUGCGGUUUCCUUGGCCUCUCUAUCGCGCUUAUGUACGAGAAGAGCCUUGGUUCUGCCUCGCCAUGGGAGGGAUACCUCCAGCUCUUGCCCGAGAGAGAAUGCAUUCCGCUUGUCUGGAGUUUGGAGGAGGUGGACAAGCUUCUGGUUGGGACCGAGCUCCAUAAGAUUGUAAAAGACGAUAAGAAAUUUCUCUUUGAGGAUUGGAAAGAAUACAUUGAACCUCUCAUUCAAUCAGGGCCUUCAGAGAUAGAUUCAGACAAUUUUGGCAUUGAGCAGUAUUUUUCUGCCAAAAGUCUCAUUGCUUCAAGAUCCUUUGAGAUUGAUAAAUAUCAUGGCUCUGGUAUGGUGCCAUUGGCUGAUCUGUUCAAUCACAAGACGGGGGCUGAGAAUGUUCACUUUACAUUAGCAUCUUCUUCCUCUAGUUCUGAUGAUGAUGUUGAAGGUGACAUUUUUGAUGCAUCUGAUGAUGAGAGGUCAUCUGUGAAAAACUCGACUAAUUCAUCAGGAAGUGAGCCUAUUGAAACUUUGGAAAUGAUCGUGGUGAAGGAGGUUGAGACAGGUUUUGAGGUCUACAACACUUAUGGGUCUAUGGGAAAUGCUGCAUUGCUUCAUAGAUAUGGAUUUACCGAACUUGAUAACCCUUAUAAUAUUGUUAACAUUGAUCUACAUCUGAUACUCAAAUGGCUUUCUUCUUUAUUCUCCAACCGUUAUGUUAGAACAAGACUAGGGUUGUGGAGGAAGUUGAAUUACUCAGGCUGCACCAGCCAGAAUUCUGAGUACUUUGAGAUAUCUUCUGAUGGUGAGCCUCAAAUGGAGCUGCUGAUUCUUUUGUACAUAUUUUUAUCAGAAAGCAUAUAUCAGAAACUAGACUCUGUAUUAGAUUCAUUCACUGAAGCUAAUGAAGCUGAUAAGCUAAUCAAGCUGUUGGGGUUAACUAAAACAGACUGUGAACACAAAUUAGAGGAUUUAAAGGAGGUAUUACUCAGAGAUAAUGUUUGCCAGGCUCUUAUAUCUUUAGCUGACAUUCGAGAGAGUUUGUAUGGUUUGAGUUCCUUGCAGGAGGACAUUAGCAAGCUCCAUGAUUGUUGCAGAUUGAUGGAGAGCAAGUUGUAUCACUCUUUAGUUCUGCGCGUGGGUGAGAGAAAAAUACUUGGAAAGUUAAGGGCAUAUGCUUGCAAACACUUAAGGGCGAUGAAAAGGCGGAGAGGCAGAAAAUCAUCACGAAGAUGCUGAGUUAUCUUCCAAAUUCUGCUGUGGAAUCUUAGGUACAGGCUUUCUAGUUUUGCUGAGACAGCAACAAGUUUGCUUCAACGACAAAAGAAUGAACUCAAACCCCUUGUUCAAGCCAAGAAAUACCCACAUCAGUAUCCACACCUCGUUCUCUCAUCACACUUUUUGUUGCUAAAGAAACUUUACUAGCAUCCAUGUACGUGUUAUAAAGUAGCAUAUAUGGUGCGGCUGCAUAAUGAUUUUUCAGUAGCUUCUCUCUGUCAUGCUCGCCUCUUUCAAUAUCACAUUGCAACUGACAAAUCUGCAACAAGGAUCUUCAUAUUAUUGGCUCUUUGUCAAAUCUCCAGGAAGUUAUGAAGUCCUUGGCAUCAUCCAACCUCCUCGCCAAAACAAAGGGUUUACAGUGUGAAUGCUGUUAUUAGCACUUGGAAUCAAGUCAAGUUCUUUCUUCAUCCUCUUGAAGUUCCUAUUAUUGUCGAAUAGUUCACCAAUAGCAUGGUAAGUAAGGGCCCGUUUGGGGGAAAUGAGCGGCGUCCCCCCGUGUAUCUCCCCUGUUUGGGGCGGAGGUUUGAUCGCGGAGGCCCCGACGCGUAGCGGAAAGCGGGCCGCCGGAUCCCUCCCGUGGUCCGCUUUUCCCACGAGCUUUCUCAUUUUUAAUACCUUACCUGCCCUGCCCCACCAUAAUGCCCCUCUCUCCCGAGCUCAUGAUUGCAAUUCCUCUUCUCAUCUUCUGCCCUGGAUAGCGUCCGACCAAACAAGCUUCUCUAUCGACUCUUCUGCCCUAGCGCUUGGAGAAAUAUCAGAUCUGCGAGAGGCAUCCGACUAGAGAAGGCCUCUGGAGCUUGUAUUCUCAGAUCAGUCUUUGAUCUCAGUCAUGAUCUCACAGUUCUUUGUCCUCUCUCAAAGAGGCCACAACAUCGCAAGGAUAGUGUUUGAAGUUUGGUUUUAUAAUUUCUCUGACAUUUCAAUGUAUUGCUGAGAUUGGUUCUGGAUUUGGCUAGAUAUUGACUGGAGUUGAUGUUACUCUCUAGUUAAUGUUACAAUUUUAGGGAACUUUCAGGGAUGAAUUUCUGCUGAUUUGAGGAUGCGGUGAUUCUUUCACCUGAUCAAUUUUUAUUUUGGCAUGAAGUUAG
This is an RNA transcript of Phalaenopsis equestris, 2645 nucleotides long. It is a transcript of the gene named ribosomal lysine N-methyltransferase 3, with no coding region annotated. The transcript is spliced from 8 exons. The record is from RefSeq and is a predicted model, not a curated record. Lineage: Eukaryota; Viridiplantae; Streptophyta; Magnoliopsida; Asparagales; Orchidaceae.